GACAGAGGGUGCAAACGUUGCUCGGAAUCACUGGGCGUAAAGGGCGUGUAGGCGGGUAGAUAAGUCGGGCGUGAAAUCCCUAGGCUCAACCUAGGAACUGCACUCGAAACUGUUUAUCUUGAGUAUCGGAGAGGAAAGCGGAAUUCCUGGUGUAGAGGUGAAAUUCGUAGAUAUCAGGAGGAACACCAGUGGCGAAGGCGGCUUUCUGGACGGUAACUGACGCUGAGACGCGAAAGCGUGGGGAGCAAACAGG
RNAcentral lists this ribosomal RNA (253 nucleotides) under uncultured bacterium. Its description in RNAcentral is "partial 16S ribosomal RNA". It matches the Rfam family "Bacterial small subunit ribosomal RNA", at positions 524 to 776 of the family's 1533-position model. The record is from RNAcentral.